RNAcentral lists this ribosomal RNA (484 nucleotides) under uncultured bacterium. RNAcentral's name for it is "partial 16S ribosomal RNA". It matches the Rfam family "Bacterial small subunit ribosomal RNA", at positions 30 to 507 of the family's 1533-position model. The record is from RNAcentral.
AUUGAACGCUGGCGGCAGGCCUAACACAUGCAAGUCGAGCGGAUGAAGGGAGCUUGCUCCUGGAUUCAGCGGCGGACGGGUGAGUAAUGCCUAGGAAUCUGCCUGGUAGUGGGGGAUAACGUCCGGAAACGGGCGCUAAUACCGCAUACGUCCUGAGGGAGAAAGUGGGGGAUCUUCGGACCUCACGCUAUCAGAUGAGCCUAGGUCGGAUUAGCUAGUUGGUGGGGUAAAGGCCUACCAAGGCGACGAUCCGUAACUGGUCUGAGAGGAUGAUCAGUCACACUGGAACUGAGACACGGUCCAGACUCCUACGGGAGGCAGCAGUGGGGAAUAUUAGACAGAGGGCGAAAGCCUGAUCCAGCCAUGCCGCGUGUGUGAAGAAGGUCUUCGGAUUGUAAAGCACUUUAAGUUGGGAGGAAGGGCAGUAAGUUAAUACCUUGCUGUUUUGAUGUUACCAACAUAAUAAGCACCGGCUAACUUCGUG